GGUUAAGUGACUAAGCGUACAUGGUGGAUGCCUUGGCAGUCAGAGGCGAUGAAGGACGUACUAACCUGCGAUAAGCUGUGAGAAGUCGGUAAGAGACGCUAUUACUCACAGAUUUCCGAAUGGGGAAACCCACCCAAGAUAACUUGGGUAUCGUUACAUGAAUACAUAGUGUAACGAGGCGAACCGGGAGAACUGAAACAUCUAAGUACCCCGAGGAAAAGAAAUCAACCGAGAUUCCCUCAGUAGCGGCGAGCGAACGGGGAUUAGCCCUUAAGCAUCUUGGAAGUUAGUGGAACGGUCCUGGAAAGGCCGGCGAUACAGGGUGAUAGCCCCGUACACGAAAACAACCUUGAUGUGAAAUCGAGUAGGGCGGGACACGUGACAUCCUGUCUGAAUAUGGGGGGACCAUCCUCCAAGGCUAAAUACUCCUGACUGACCGAUAGUGAACCAGUACCGUGAGGGAAAGGCGAAAAGAACCCCUGUGAGGGGAGUGAAAUAGAACCUGAAACCGUGUACGUACAAGCAGUGGGAGCCCUUCGGGGUGACUGCGUACCUUUUGUAUAAUGGGUCAGCGACUUACAUUUUGUAGCGAGGUUAACCGUAUAGGGGAGCCGUAGGGAAACCGAGUCUUAACUGGGCGUCUAGUUGCAAGGUGUAGACCCGAAACCGGGUGAUCUAGCCAUGGGCAGGUUGAAGGUUGAGUAACAUCAACUGGAGGACCGAACCCACUAACGUUGCAAAGUUAGGGGAUGACCUGUGGCUGGGGGUGAAAGGCCAAUCAAACUCGGAGAUAGCUGGUUCUCCCCGAAAGCUAUUUAGGUAGCGCCUCGGACGAAUACUACUGGGGGUAGAGCACUGUUUGGGCUAGGGGGUCAUCCCGACUUACCAACCCCAUGCAAACUCCGAAUACCAGUAAGUAAUAUCCGGGAGACACACGGCGGGUGCUAACGUCCGUCGUGAAGAGGGAAACAACCCAGACCGCCGGCUAAGGUCCCAAAGUUCUGGUUAAGUGGGAAACGAUGUGGGAAGGCUCAGACAGCUAGGAUGUUGGCUUAGAAGCAGCCAUCAUUUAAAGAAAGCGUAAUAGCUCACUAGUCGAGUCGGCCUGCGCGGAAGAUGUAACGGGGCUCAAACCAGGCACCGAAGCCGCGGAUUCACACUUAUGUGUGAGUGGUAGGGGAGCGUUCUGUAAGUCUGCGAAGGUGUAUCGAGAGGUAUGCUGGAGAUAUCAGAAGUGCGAAUGCUGACGUAAGUAACGAUAAAGGGGGUGAAAAGCCUCCUCGCCGGAAGACCAAGGGUUCCUGUCCAACGUUAAUCGGGGCAGGGUGAGUCGACCCCUAAGGCGAGGCCGAAAGGCGUAGUCGAUGGGAAGCAGGUUAAUAUUCCUGCACGACUUGUAAUUGCGAUGGGGGGACGGAGAAGGCUAGGUGGGCCAGGCGACGGUUGUCCUGGUGAAAGUGCGUAGGUGGUGUUUCUAGGCAAAUCCGGAGACACAACACUGAGACACGAGACGAACACACUACGGUGUGGAAGCCAUUGAUGCCCUGCUUCCAGGAAAAGCCUCUAAGCUUCAGAUUACAAGUCAUCGUACCCCAAACCGACACAGGUGGUCGGGUAGAGAAUACCAAGGCGCUUGAGAGAACUCGGGUGAAGGAACUAGGCAAAAUAGAACCGUAACUUCGGGAGAAGGUUCGCUCUUGAUGGUGAAGUCCCUUGCGGAUGGAGCUGUCGGGAGUCGCAGUGACCAGAUGGCUGGGACUGUUUAUCAAAAACACAGCACUCUGCAAACACGAAAGUGGACGUAUAGGGUGUGACACCUGCCCGGUGCCGGAAGGUUAAUUGAUGGGGUUAGCGCAAGCGAAGCUCUUGAUCGAAGCCCCGGUAAACGGCGGCCGUAACUAUAACGGUCCUAAGGUAGCGAAAUUCCUUGUCGGGUAAGUUCCGACCUGCACGAAUGGUGUAACCAUGGCCAUGCUGUCUCCACCCGAGACUCAGUGAAAUCGAAUUCGCCGUGAAGAUGCGGUGUACCCGCGGCUAGACGGAAAGACCCCGUGAACCUUUACUACAGCUUGGCACUGAACAUUGAACCUACAUGUGUAGGAUAGGUGGGAGGCUUUGAAGGCGUGACGCCAGUUGCGCUGGAGCCGUCCUUGAAAUACCACCCUUGUAUGUUUGAUGUUCUAACGCAGGGCCCUGAAUCGGGCUCGCGGACAGUGCCUGGUGGGUAGUUUGACUGGGGCGGUCUCCUCCCAAAGAGUAACGGAGGAGCACGAAGGUUGGCUAAUCCUGGUCGGACAUCAGGAGGUUAGUGCAAUGGCAUAAGCCAGCUUAACUGCGAGACGGACAGGUCGAGCAGGUACGAAAGUAGGUCAUAGUGAUCCGGUGGUUCUGAAUGGAAGGGCCAUCGCUCAACGGAUAAAAGGUACUCCGGGGAUAACAGGCUGAUACCGCCCAAGAGUUCAUAUCGACGGCGGUGUUUGGCACCUCGAUGUCGGCUCAUCACAUCCUGGGGCUGAAGUCGGUCCCAAGGGUAUGGCUGUUCGCCAUUUAAAGUGGUACGCGAGCUGGGUUCAGAACGUCGUGAGACAGUUCGGUCCCUAUCUGCCGUGGGCGUUGGAUGAUUGAAGGGAGUUGCUCCUAGUACGAGAGGACCGGAGUGAACGAACCUCUGGUGUUCGGGUUGUCACGCCAGUGGCACUGCCCGGUAGCUAAGUUCGGAAUCGAUAACCGCUGAAAGCAUCUAAGCGGGAAGCGAGCCCUGAGAUGAGUCAUCCCUGACCCCUUGAGGGUCCUAAAGGGCCGUUGGAGACCACAACGUUGAUAGGUGGGGUGUGUAAGCGCGGCGACGUGUUGAGCUAACCCAUACUAAUUACCCGUGAGGCUUAACCAU
This 2890-nucleotide ribosomal RNA is filed under the name Aeromonas veronii. RNAcentral describes it as "23S ribosomal RNA". It matches the Rfam family "Bacterial large subunit ribosomal RNA". Lineage: Bacteria; Pseudomonadati; Pseudomonadota; Gammaproteobacteria; Aeromonadales; Aeromonadaceae. The record is from RNAcentral.